This 754-nucleotide unclassified non-coding RNA is filed under the name Hevea brasiliensis (rubber tree). The record is from RNAcentral. Lineage: Eukaryota; Viridiplantae; Streptophyta; Magnoliopsida; Malpighiales; Euphorbiaceae.
GACCAGUACAGUAAAGCAAAAGAAAAAUACUUUUAAAGAGAUCCGCCACUUGUACGACCGACCCCGCCCAUGACUCAGACUCUUACACCAUUCACCUCAAUUUUUCAUUUCCUUGCUUUUCCCCCUUCUAAUCUCUACCAUUCAUCUUCCUUUUCCAUCACCAACCUUUAUGCAACCUCCCAUCCAACGGUCAUCAUCUCAUGUGCACCAACUCACAAUGAGGUCUAACUUUAAUUUUUUUUUUUUAUUAAAGCAUCUUUCUAUAAAAUAUUUAAAAAAUCGCAUUAAAUAUUUUUAGUUUUGUUUUUUUAACUCAAUUGACCGAAACUCCGCUUUCCUUCUCUCUAUAUAACCCUUUCCACCCCCUUCUCUCUCCUCAUCCUUUGCUUUUGCUUCCAUUUCUCAUCCCUACUCUCUUAUCUCUGUUUUCAAUUAGCUCUUUUAUUUAAUGGCCGAGACACCAUCAAAACGCCUCAGAGAUGAAGCUCAAAUAGAAGAAGAUGUUAUCUUUGUUGAUGAAACUAAUAAGCGCCAUAAGUCAUAUAACCACAUACUCACUCUUCUUGAAGAAGAAGAAGAUGAAAUAACCCAAGACCUUUCUUCUCUCAUCACUACACUUCAGCAAGAACUCUCCUCUGACUCUACCUUCAACGACCCUCUUUCUUGUGUAACCACAGUAACCGACCAAGAAAGCCCUAUCAAUGCCGUAACGCCCACCUUAGAAGACUGCCCAUCUUCUUCUUCUUCUUCUUCU